GGGGCCGACCGGUUUCGACAGGGGUGCUGAAACUCCAGGUGCGUACCGAGGUGCAGGUUACCUCGUUAAACUGACUUGCAAACUCAUAGUUGCCAACGAAGACAACUACGCUCUAGCCGCCUAAUCGCGGCUGAACCUCGACC
This 143-nucleotide transfer-messenger RNA is filed under the name Gammaproteobacteria bacterium. RNAcentral's name for it is "partial transfer-messenger RNA". It matches the Rfam family "transfer-messenger RNA", at positions 1 to 151 of the family's 374-position model. Rfam says of the family: Bacterial tmRNA, also known as 10Sa RNA or SsrA, is named for its dual tRNA and mRNA-like properties. Its role is to liberate the mRNA from a stalled ribosome. The record is from RNAcentral. Lineage: Bacteria; Pseudomonadati; Pseudomonadota; Gammaproteobacteria.